UGAGGAAUAUUGCACAAUGGGGGCAACCCUGAUGCAGCGACGCCGCGUGGGUGAUGAAGGUCUUCGGAUCGUAAAACCCUUUUCUGUGUGACGAGAACGGACGGUAGCACAGGAAUAAGCCUCGGCUAACUACGUGCCAGCAGCCGCGGUAAAACGUAGGAGGCGAGCGUUAUCCGGAGUUACUGGGCGUAAAGCGUCUGUAGGCGGUUGUCCAAGUUACGUGUGAAAGCGCCCGGCUAAACUGGGCGAAGCCACGUAAGACUGGGCAGCUAGAGGGUGGUAGAGGGGCGUGGAAUUCCGGGUGUAGCGGUGAAAUGUGUAGAGAUCCGGAGGAACACCAGUGGUGCAGACGGCGCCCUGGGCCAUACCUGACGCUGAGAGACGAAAGCGUGGGGAGCGAACGG
Molecule: ribosomal RNA, 404 nt
Filed under: uncultured bacterium
Lineage: Bacteria
Description: bacterial SSU rRNA
Rfam family: Bacterial small subunit ribosomal RNA
Source: RNAcentral